UCAGUCUGGCCAUACCACCCUGAAUGUGCCCCAGUUGCACCCAAUCUCGGAAGCCAAGUAGGGUCGGACCUAGAGAGUACUUGGGUGGGACAGUGAGAUUUGUUUCAGAACUGAU
Molecule: ribosomal RNA, 115 nt
Organism: Ursus americanus (American black bear)
Lineage: Eukaryota; Metazoa; Chordata; Mammalia; Carnivora; Ursidae
Source: Ensembl